UAGCCGCACACAGUGUUAUAUUUUUAGAAGACAAAAGCAAGACAAAGCAAAUAAAACAGAGAAUAAGAAUAAUGAUGGAACCCAUUGAAAGGAAGAGAGAAAAGAAGGCAUUAAAUGAGAAUUUGUCAACCUAGGAAAGAAUUAAAUACGUCUAAAAGUAGACAAUCCUUGCAACAAUAGCUGGGCCAAGAAAUGAGCAUAGAUAAUCAGGCUAGUUAAAAAGACCAGGGCGCAAAGUAAUUUAACGCAUAAAAUUUUUUAAAAGAAUCACAAAUAUCAACAUUGUGAACUAUAGCCG
Molecule: unclassified non-coding RNA, 298 nt
Filed under: Hevea brasiliensis (rubber tree)
Lineage: Eukaryota; Viridiplantae; Streptophyta; Magnoliopsida; Malpighiales; Euphorbiaceae
Source: RNAcentral